Long non-coding RNA from Sinocyclocheilus anshuiensis, 660 nucleotides. RefSeq lists it as uncharacterized. NCBI's taxonomy places the organism in Eukaryota, Metazoa, Chordata, Actinopteri, Cypriniformes, Cyprinidae. The record is from RefSeq and is a predicted model, not a curated record. The transcript has 2 exons.
UAUUCUACACUGUGCUUUAUUACUGGGCUUAAGCGGAAACUCGUCAUUCAGUAAAAUUACAAAAGAUAGUCUAGGGACAAGAGAAAGGUGGAGUUAAGAACAGGGCAAGAGCUGCAGCAGUACUCCGACUGCUAAUACAACUCAAUCUCAUUGUAAUAGGCUUGGCAUAAAUCCACAGAUACCACCCAGCACGCUCAAAUGUGCUCAAAAUGUCUGAAAAUGUUUUUUUUUUCUUCUCUUUUUUUUAAACCCCAUUUUACUGCAUUGUUCCUUGUAAGUUCAGACUCUUUCUGAUGAGUUGCUGAGAGUCUGAUGGAUUAGUGCAGUUUUUCUUCCUUAUUUUUUUCCCAGUGUUUGAAAAAGCAGUGAAGCAAAUCGGAGUUCUGACAGACGCAUGGAAUCGCAGAACAGAAGAAAACAGCAGACAGUUCUAACAGGUGCAGCGAAAACUUUUGACACCAGUCCUUCAUGAGUUCUACAUUCUCCAUAAAGGAUUACCCUGAUUCUGCCAGUUGCAUUGUUCCAUUGUGUCUCACAAUACAAAAACAUGUAAAAAAUAUAUAUUUUAAAAAGAAUCGUUUAAAUGACAAAAUGAUAUUCAGUGCAGUUACAAACAUAAAAAUUUCAACCAUGUAAAUGAUAAAAGUACAUAGUAUUUUA